CCCAGACUCCUACGGGAGGCAGCAGUGGGGAAUAUUGCACAAUGGGGGAAACCCUGAUGCAGCGACGCCGCGUGAGUGAGGAAGUAUUUCGGUAUGUAAAGCUCUAUCAGCAGGGAAGAAAAUGACGGUACCUGACUAAGAAGCCCCGGCUAACUACGUGCCAGCAGCCGCGGUAAUACGUAGGGGGCAAGCGUUAUCCGGAUUUACUGGGUGUAAAGGGAGCGUAGACGGCUAAUCAAGUCAGAAGUGAAAACCCAGGGCUCAACCUUGGGACUGCUUUUGAAACUGAGUAGCUAGAGUGCAGGAGAGGUAAGCGGAAUUCCUAGUGUAGCGGUGAAAUGCGUAGAUAUCAGGAGGAACACCGGCGGCGAAGGCGGCCUGCUGGACCGCGACUGACGUUGAGGCUCGAAAGCGUGGGGAGCGAACAGGAUUAGAUACCCGAGUAUU
RNAcentral lists this ribosomal RNA (447 nucleotides) under uncultured bacterium. RNAcentral describes it as "bacterial SSU rRNA". It matches the Rfam family "Bacterial small subunit ribosomal RNA", at positions 330 to 794 of the family's 1533-position model. The record is from RNAcentral.